UACGAGGGGAGCUAGCGUUAUUCGGAAUUACUGGGCGUAAAGCGCACGUAGGCGGCUUUGUAAGUUAGAGGUGAAAGCCCAGAGCUCAACUCUGGAAUUGCCUUUAAGACUGCAUCGCUUGAAUCCAGGAGAGGUGAGUGGAAUUCCGAGUGUAGAGGUGAAAUUCGUAGAUAUUCGGAAGAACACCAGUGGCGAAGGCGGCUCACUGGACCGGUAUUGACGCUGAGGUGCGAAAGCGUGGGGAGCAAACAGG
Molecule: ribosomal RNA, 253 nt
Filed under: uncultured bacterium
Lineage: Bacteria
Description: partial 16S ribosomal RNA
Rfam family: Bacterial small subunit ribosomal RNA
Source: RNAcentral